GAAUAGGCUUUUUUCAGACAAAAAUAAAAGCCAUCAAUAGUCAUAAAAAAAUGCCCU
Non-coding RNA from Monodelphis domestica (gray short-tailed opossum), 57 nucleotides. Lineage: Eukaryota; Metazoa; Chordata; Mammalia; Didelphimorphia; Didelphidae. The record is from Rfam.